This 447-nucleotide ribosomal RNA is filed under the name uncultured bacterium. Its description in RNAcentral is "partial 16S ribosomal RNA". It matches the Rfam family "Bacterial small subunit ribosomal RNA", at positions 330 to 794 of the family's 1533-position model. The record is from RNAcentral.
UCCAGACUCCUACGGGAGGCAGCAGUGGGGGAUAUUGCACAAUGGGGGCAACCCUGAUGCAGCGACGCCGCGUGAGCGAUGGAGUACUUCGGUAUGUAAAGCUCUGUCAGCAGGGAAGAAAAUGACGGUACCUGAAGAAGAAGCCCCGGCUAACUACGUGCCAGCAGCCGCGGUAAUACGUAGGGGGCAAGCGUUAUCCGGAUUUACUGGGUGUAAAGGGAGCGUAGACGGCUGUGCAAGCCAGAUGUGAAAGCCCGGGGCUCAACCCCGGGACUGCAUUUGGAACUGUGUGGCUGGAGUGUCGGAGAGGCAGGCGGAAUUCCUAGUGUAGCGGUGAAAUGCGUAGAUAUUAGGAGGAACACCAGUGGCGAAGGCGGCCUGCUGGACGAUGACUGACGUUGAGGCUCGAAAGCGUGGGGAACAAACAGGAUUAGAUACCCUUGUAUA